UACGUAGGUCCCGAGCGUUGUCCGGAUUUAUUGGGCGUAAAGCGAGCGCAGGUGGUUUAUUAAGUCUGGUGUAAAAGGCAGUGGCUCAACCAUUGUAUGCAUUGGAAACUGGUAGACUUGAGUGCAGGAAAGGAGAGUGGAAUUCCAUGUGUAGCGGUGAAAUGCGUAGAUAUAUGGAGGAACACCGGUGGCGAAAGCGGCUCUCUGGCCUGUAACUGACACUGAGGCUCGAAAGCGUGGGGAGCAAACAGG
This 252-nucleotide ribosomal RNA is filed under the name uncultured bacterium. Its description in RNAcentral is "partial 16S ribosomal RNA". It matches the Rfam family "Bacterial small subunit ribosomal RNA", at positions 524 to 776 of the family's 1533-position model. The record is from RNAcentral.